This 161-nucleotide ribosomal RNA is filed under the name Hordeum patagonicum subsp. setifolium. Its description in RNAcentral is "5.8S ribosomal RNA". It matches the Rfam family "5.8S ribosomal RNA". Rfam says of the family: 5.8S ribosomal RNA (5.8S rRNA) is a component of the large subunit of the eukaryotic ribosome. Lineage: Eukaryota; Viridiplantae; Streptophyta; Magnoliopsida; Poales; Poaceae. The record is from RNAcentral.
ACGACUCUCGGCAACGGAUAUCUCGGCUCUCGCAUCGAUGAAGAACGUAGCGAAAUGCGAUACCUGGUGUGAAUUGCAGAAUCCCGCGAACCAUCGAGUCUUUGAACGCGAGUUGCGCCCGAGGCCACUCGGCCGAGGGCACGCCUGCCUGGGCGUCACGC